CAGUGAUAAACUGGAGGAAGGUGGGGAUGACGUCAAGUCAUCAUGGCCCUUACGACCAGGGCUACACACGUGCUACAAUGGCGCAUACAAAGAGAAGCGACCUCGCGAGAGCAAGCGGACCUCAUAAAGUGCGUCGUAGUCCGGAUUGGAGUCUGCAACUCGACUCCAUGAAGUCGGAAUCGCUAGUAAUCGUGGAUCAGAAUGCCACGGUGAAUACGUUCCCGGGCCUUGUACACACCGCCCGUCACACCAUGGGAGUGGGUUGCAAAAGAAGUAGGUAGCUUAACCUU
Molecule: ribosomal RNA, 290 nt
Filed under: Salmonella enterica
Lineage: Bacteria; Pseudomonadati; Pseudomonadota; Gammaproteobacteria; Enterobacterales; Enterobacteriaceae
Description: partial 16S ribosomal RNA
Rfam family: Bacterial small subunit ribosomal RNA
Source: RNAcentral